This 294-nucleotide ribosomal RNA is filed under the name uncultured bacterium. RNAcentral describes it as "partial 16S ribosomal RNA". It matches the Rfam family "Bacterial small subunit ribosomal RNA", at positions 333 to 644 of the family's 1533-position model. The record is from RNAcentral.
GUUGACCUACGGGGCGCAGCAGUGGGGGAUAUUGCACAAUGGGGGGAACCCUGAUGCAGCGACGCCGCGUGGGUGAAGGAGCGUUUCGGCGCGUAAAGCCCUCUCGGCAGGGAAGAGGAUGACGGUACCUGACCAAGAAGCCCCGGCUAACUACGUGCCAGCAGCCGCGGUAAUACGUAGGGGGCAAGCGUUAUUCGGAUUUACUGGGUGUAAAGGGGGCGCAGACGGCAAUGCAAGCCAGGAGUGAAAGCCCGGGGCCCAACCCCGGGACUGCUCUUGGAACUGCAUGGCUGG